GCGGCAAGAUGGCGUCUCGAUUGACGCAUUCGUUCUAAUGAACAGCAGUCGUCAAGGCGACAUCUAGUCAGUAUAUAUAUCUAUGAUAUCUGGAAACACC
Alosa sapidissima (American shad) is the source of this 100-nucleotide long non-coding RNA. RefSeq lists it as uncharacterized. The transcript is spliced from 3 exons. Lineage: Eukaryota; Metazoa; Chordata; Actinopteri; Clupeiformes; Clupeidae. The record is from RefSeq and is a predicted model, not a curated record.